AAUUAUAAAAUUUUACUUUAAACUUUUAUAACAAAACAUAACGUUUCAGUUCAGUUAAACCGUAAGAAAAAUAAGCUAGUUUCAUAUAGCUAUUAAUUAUAUAUAUACAAUACAUUGAAGUACGACUUCCAAAAUAUUAUCUAGCCUAUACAUGCCAUAAGUUAAAAUUUAAACGUUUUAAUACCGAGAUAGUUGAUAGAGUGAUGAUCUUCACUAACGAUCCCCGAGUCUGCAGCUUGGUUUUUUUUUAUCUAUAAAACAAACGGACAAAAACAAUCAAAGUAAGCUUUUAUAGCUUAGUAAGUUUAUAGCAUAUCUAAAAUACAUAUAAACGAACAUAUGUAUAAACAAUAUAUGCUUAUAAUCAAGUUCCAAACAUAGUCAUUAAUAGCAUAUACUGAUUUCUAAUAUACUUAUCAUUUGCAUUUCAUAGAAUGCAUAUCUAUGAUCUUUCAAAUACAUAUGUCAAAAACUUAUAUUUUUACUUAUCAACUACAUAAACCAAAUGCACAUCUAUACUUUUAAUCCACAUGUGCCGAAUGCAUACAUGUAUAUUCAAUAAUUUUCAUAACAACCAAUAUAUGUGCCUAUUCACUAAACACAGAGAUCCAAACCUUUAUAUGCUCAUCAAAUACAUAUAAACAAAUGCUCAUAUACUUAUCCAUUAUAUAUAACCCAAAAUCAUAUAUAUAUAUCAAAUGCGUAUAAUCGCUUAAUUUAACAUAUUCACCGGCACUUAGCCUGCUAGGCUUAUAGCCUGAUUCAGAUCACCGGCACUUAGCCUGCUAGACUUAAAGUCCGAAAUAUUUCACUGACAAUAAACCUGAUAGGCCCUGAGCCUGAAAAUCUCAAUUUACAGAAAUUGUAACUCAUAUUCGAACUAUAUUUGUAUAUAAUAUCCAUACAUAAAAAUUCAGCUCAAUAAUUUAUAAACUAUAUCUUUAAACCACAUAGAUAUAUAAAGAUCAAAUACCAAAUUCAGCUAAAUAAUUUAAUUAUACAUCAGAAAACUCACAUAUAUAUAUAUAUAACUUAAUAAAUUAAAUUCUACUACUAAAAUCUUAUCAUUUAACUUAUAUCAUACCUUAAGUAAUAUACAUUUACUAAUCGAAUCACUUAAAUACAUAUAUAUUUCAUAACCUUAAAAAUCAAAUCAAAUAAAAUAUAUCAUACAUUCGAACACUUUAUUGAUAAUCUAAGCUAACAAUUUCAUACCUUUGAUUUAGAACAAAAACUUAUACAUGUAUAUACAUACAUAUUCAAAAUUACAUAUACAUACAUAACAUUCAUACCUUUAAAUAUAUUCAAGACUUAUUUAUGAGUAUAAAUAUAUAUUCCAACUCACAUAUACAUAUAUAUAACAUUCCUACCUUUAACCAAGUCCAAGGUUUUAUACAUGUAUAUGCUCAUAUAUAUAUAUUCGAACCUUAUGUAUAUAUAUAUAUAUAUAUUAUAUAUACCUUUGAUUAAAAACAAGAAUUUAUACAUAUAUAUAUUUUCGAACAUGAUACAUAUAUAUACAUAUCAUUCAUACUUAAGAAAAUUCAAUCCAUAUACUUUCAAUUUCAGCUCAUCAAAAUACAAUAGAUAUACAUGCACAUAUACUGAUUUAAUAACAUCAAAUUGCUAAUAGACUUACCUCGGAUAUCAGCAGACAAGAUCGACUAUUCAAUUACUUUCGUUUUCCCCCGAUCCAAAUCCGUUUUCUUCGUUUCUUGAUCUAAACAUAAUCAAAUUUAACCUUUUUAUUCAUCAAAACAUUCAAUUAAGUCCAAAAAUACAUAAAUUGGUAAAUUACCAUUUUGCCCCUAACAUUUUACACUUUUUGCAAUUUAAUCCUUUUUGCACAAAACACAAAAUACACAAAAUUUGCCCACACUAAGCUAGGGCCAAAUAUUCCUUGUCUUCAUACAAGUCCACACAUUUCAUUUAUUUCACAUUUUAAUCCCUCAAGAAUUCAUUUUCACAAUUUAGCUCUAAUUUCUCAAAUUCACUAAAAAUUCAAAGACAAAAUAUGUUAAUCUAUCACAUUUCUUUCAUUUUUCAUCAUCAACUAUCACAAUGUUCAAGCAUUCAUCAAUGGCACCUUUCAAAAUCAUCAACAAUUCACAAAAUUAAGGCAUGGGUUUUGAAGUAUUCAAAGCAACGAUCUCAAAAACAUAAAAAUUAUCAAAAACCGAACUAAAUCCAUACCUUAAUCCAAACUUGAAAGUGCCGAACCCUUAACCAGGUAAAUGACUUUCUUUUCUUCUCACAUUCGGCCAAAAAAA
This 2270-nucleotide long non-coding RNA is filed under the name Gossypium barbadense (sea-island cotton). RNAcentral describes it as "long non-coding RNA (GBAR_LNC013284)". The record is from RNAcentral. Lineage: Eukaryota; Viridiplantae; Streptophyta; Magnoliopsida; Malvales; Malvaceae.